This 253-nucleotide ribosomal RNA is filed under the name uncultured bacterium. RNAcentral's name for it is "partial 16S ribosomal RNA". It matches the Rfam family "Bacterial small subunit ribosomal RNA", at positions 524 to 776 of the family's 1533-position model. The record is from RNAcentral.
UACGUAGGGUGCAAGCGUUGUCCGGAAUUAUUGGGCGUAAAGAGCUCGUAGGCGGUCUGUCGCGUCUGCUGUGGAAACUCAGGGCUUAACCCUGAGCUUGCAGUGGGUACGGGCAGACUAGAGUGCGGUAGGGGAGACUGGAAUUCCUGGUGUAGCGGUGAAAUGCGCAGAUAUCAGGAGGAACACCGGUGGCGAAGGCGGGUCUCUGGGCCGACACUGACGCUGAGGCGCGAAAGCCAGGGGAGCGAACGGG